Molecule: non-coding RNA, 730 nt
Filed under: Beta vulgaris subsp. vulgaris (sugar beet)
Lineage: Eukaryota; Viridiplantae; Streptophyta; Magnoliopsida; Caryophyllales; Amaranthaceae
Description: Bacterial large subunit ribosomal RNA
Rfam family: Bacterial large subunit ribosomal RNA
Source: Rfam by way of RNAcentral
AUAGUUACUGCUGUGAUAAGAGGCAACUCUGAAUGUAUCAGUAAUUACUAAAGUGAGACUAUAGACUACAAAGUUUGCAGUCUAAUGGGAACCGCCCAAUGUUAUAUGUAAGUUCCAAAUCAUGUUACUCAUUAAAGAUGUAUUAACCAUAUAUCUAACGAGAGACAUGCUAAGAAUCGAAGUAUAACCUAAGAUAGAAAUAUCUUAGUGUAGUAGAGUGCUCUCUAAAACACUUUUAGAGAUAUAAGAAUGCUGACAUGAGAAAUAAAAUAGAUCUUAAGUACAAGUUAAUUAUAAGACACAAUGCUUAAGUAAGAUACGGAUGAAUAAUCCUACUGAUAGUUAAUGAAUGCCAAUGAAUCGUAAGACUGAUCAUUGAGUUUAUUACACUGGAAAUAUCUUAUGCGUAUGUUACUUCUACCAAGGAAUAGCCUUACGUGUAAUCAUUGUGACUAAAAUUGAUACAAAUGUACAUGUAGAGAAUACUAAGAUCUAGAAUUAAAUUAUUGUUAAGAAACUUGGCAAAUCAAUCCUGUAACUUCGGAAUAAAGGAUGGCGUAUUUGAUGUUAACUAUCAGGUACGUAACACAGAAAGGGACCUGAGUCUGUCACUAAACACAUAGCACUUUGCUAAGGAGUAAUCCUACGUAUAAGGUAUAUUGUUGACUGAUGCUUUAUGUAGCGUAAUUAUUUAUUCACUAAAUAUGGAUGUGUAUGGAUUACGUGACAC